Monodelphis domestica (gray short-tailed opossum) is the source of this 1654-nucleotide long non-coding RNA. RefSeq lists it as uncharacterized. NCBI's taxonomy places the organism in Eukaryota, Metazoa, Chordata, Mammalia, Didelphimorphia, Didelphidae. The record is from RefSeq and is a predicted model, not a curated record.
GAGAGAAGGCCAAGAAAAAUUUAAAAAAAAAAUUAUUUUCAAGCUGCCAAGGGGGCAGUUCUAGGAACAAGACCUCAUUUUCCUGAUAAUCUAGAAAUUGGCCUUCUGAUAUGUCUAUUGAAACCACUCUAGGGCUACACUUUUGGAGACAAGAAAAGAAAGAUGCCACAUUUUAAAUCAAAACAUCCUGGGAGUGCCCAGAAGAGCUAGAAGAGUAUAAGGAAGCCUGUGGGCUGCUUUCAAAGAUGAGAAAGACAAUAGCAUGAAAGAGGCCAUUCAUCCUACUUGAGCUUUAAUCAAGAAACAGAAUGAAAGGAAAUAAAACCUGGGCUGUGGAACAACAAAAGACCAUCAUUACCAUUACCGAGGAAUCUCAAACACUAUGGCAAGAUGAAAACAACCUUCCUGCUAAAGCUGUUAACUGUUAUAGAAAAUCCCUACUUCCUAACAAUGAGCUGCCAGAACGACAAUUUCUGCCACAGCACUAAGUCAACAUCAUUAGAAAUGCAAAAGGGGGAAAAUGGUAAUCUGGUGUAUUUAGUAAAAGGCCACAUUACUGUGAUAAUACUCACAAAUAACUAUGUAAAAAACAAGCUAUUUAGAAGAUAAAUCAAGAAGAAUUAAUGGAGAGAAUGAAGAAUUACAAGAGAAUGAGAACAUCUUUCUUCAGAAGUGAAAGAGAGAAUGCAUUUGGAAAAGAAAAUUUAAAAAAUCCGAGUCUAAAUCCAUUCAGACAAGUACAAGAUGCAAAUGAGAGAAAUAAGAAAUAUCAGAAAACAACAUUACUACAACAAUGUACAUGGAAAGAAAACAACAAAAAAUGAAAGUGAACAAUGUAUUUAAGACAACCGAGAUUGGGACUUGGAACUAUAGAUGGAUGGGUUGAAGCAUUUCUUUACCUGUCUGAAAAAGUCCAAGAAGGGGUAAAGAUUCUCCAGAAGGAAACCAUCCCUGGGUUGUGACCUCUUACAUUCACUCCAUAUUUACAAAGUGCUGGUCUUUACCAUAGAGGUAACCCAACAUAUAACAGGGACCCAACUGAUUAAAUAUCACCUGCACUUUGCCUGGCAUCCCCGUUAUCAGGAAAAGUAGAGAAAAUGAGUCAUACUGACAAUAAAAUUCUUGGGUUCAGACACUUCCCAUUGGGCUCCUAAGGACAUUCAUUGCCUCCUCAAGCAGAUUUAGACUUAAGUCGAUUAGAGCUCACAUACAGGAGACCUUUCCUUACUGUAGACACACUAGGAGACCUAGGGUAAUAUGCUCUCAACCAUGUCAUUCAAUGAGUAGUAGCCACUCACUCAGUAUUUCACCAUUAUGCAAACAUGCUUCUGUCUCUGUGGUACCUGAUGCAGAGGUCCCAUUUCCAUAUCCAGAAGAUCUGUUUUACCAAAAAAUCUGGAGACUGGAUGAUUCAGCUAGUCAACCACAUUCUAAGUGGAAGGACUCUUCCAUAUCCAUCUUGGUCACCUUAACUGCUAUAAAGCUGGAGGGGCAGCCAACAUACACUCACAUUUCUCAUUUUAAGUCUUUCCUCCAUCUAGGCUCAGAGAAUAUCUCUGAGACACCCAGAUACUCCUAUGAACCUCUACAGUGGGGAUUUGGAGUUCUUGUUCAAGAACAAAAAAUGAGCAACCCAGAAACCAAAGUGACCUCU